AGAAUCAACGCUGGCGGCGUGCCUAACACAUGCAAGUCGAACGAGAAAGUGGAGCAAUCCAUGAGUACAGUGGCGUACGGGUGAGUAACACGUGACUAACCUACCCUCGAGUGGGGAAUAACCUAGGGAAACCUGGGCUAAUACCGCAUAACAUCUUCGGAUCAAAUGCGUAAGCAGCUUGAGGAGGGGGUCGCGGCCGAUUAGCUAGUUGGCGGGGUAAUGGCCCACCAAGGCAAUGAUCGGUAGCCGGCCUGAGAGGGCGCACGGCCACACUGGAACUGAAACGCGGUCCAGACUCCUACGGGAGGCAGCAGUGGGGAAUUUUGCGCAAUGGGGGAAACCCUGACGCAGCAACGCCGCGUGGAGGAUGAAGCCCCUUGGGGCGUAAACUCCUUUCGACCAAGACGAUAAUGACGGUACUGGUGGAAGAAGCACCGGCUAACUCUGUGCCAGCAGCCGCGGUAAUACGGAGGGUGCAGGCGUUGUUCGGAAUUAUUGGGCGUAAAGGGCGCGUGGGCGGCGCGGUAAGUCACCUGUGAAAUCUCCAAGCUUAACUUGGAGCCUGCAGGCGAAACUGCCGUGCUGGAGUAUGGGAGAGGUGCGUGGAAUUCCCGGUGUAGCGGUGAAAUGCGUAGAUAUCGGGAGAACACCUGUGGCGAAAGCGGCGCACUGGACCAUAACUGACGCUGAGGCGCGAAAGCUAGGGGAGCAAACAGGAUUAGAUACCCUGGUAGUCCACGCCCUAAACGAUGCAUACUUGGUGUGAGCGAUUCAUUUCGUUCGUGCCGGAGCUAACGCGUUAAGUAUGCCGCCUGGGGAGUACGGUCGCAAGGCUGAA
Molecule: ribosomal RNA, 838 nt
Filed under: uncultured bacterium
Lineage: Bacteria
Description: bacterial SSU rRNA
Rfam family: Bacterial small subunit ribosomal RNA
Source: RNAcentral